GGGUAGAUUGUAAUACCCGAAAAAUUCAAAUUAACGUCCGAUGUCAUUUUGGAAAUGAUUUCGUAGGCGUGGGCACGAAUACGAAGCUUGAAGGAGUUGUGGAAUUAGUUCGAACGAUUUUAUUUCGAAAACGAACGUUAUUUAGGGGGUCUUAAAAAGUGACUUCUUAUACGUACAGAAUUUGGGAAAACUUUCUUCAUGAAAGUUGUAGAGCUCGUCGAUACGAUCUCGUGCGUAUGUUGAACGCAAUAUUCGGAGUUUGUAUGAAUAAGUUAUGAAUAUUUGAAAAUCGGGAUUUUUUUUCUAUAAAUAUGGAGAAUUUCUGGAAUUUUUCUUAAAUCCCAAAAUUUCCUAUUCUUUCUAUUUUCUCCCCCGGUUUUCUCUCUUCUCUCUCCUCUCCCCCGACCUUUUUCUCUUCUUUCUGGGCGUUCUUCCUCUGCCAGCAGCGCCACCGUCCGGCCACCUCAAGCCGCUCUCGAGGUGUCCACGGCUUCGCCUCGACGUCGUCUAGCUACUGGACGUGACCACUUUCCCCGGAACGGCCUCAAAUCCGGCAAACCGGAGCUGCAAGGUUUGAGCCAAAAACAGUCAACGCCGGUUUUCUCCUAAUUCCGGCCACCAAAACUCACGAUCCUUAGCUCCCUGAACUCACCUCAACAUGCUGAUCAUCAUCCUAGAAGGAUCGCACCUGGAGUGACUGGAUUCACGUUCGUCGGAGCUUGGCCGGCUUUAAUUCGAAAACCACCUUCGAAUCCGAUUUUCUCGAGUUAUAGACCACCUUUUCUUGUGAUUCUUGGCCUGGUGAGUUCACCUUGAGAUUAUUAACAACUCUCAAGAAGGGAUCGAGGCCUGAGGUUGAAGUUUUUACGUCGGAAUUCAAGCUCGCCGGAUUCUGGAAAAUUUCCGACCACGAAGACUUUCGAUCAAGAUAUCGCGAGCUGUAGUGCAUCGUUUUGAUUGAUUCUUUUUCCAGUGGGUUCCCCUUGAUGUUGUUAACAACUCUCUAGAAGGCAUCGAGGCCUGAAAUUGAAUCUUUGACGUCGAAAUCGAGCCUUGCCGGAUUCUGCAAAAUUCUGGAAUUUUUCCGACCACCGAAGCUUUCGAUCGGUAUAUCUCGAGCUACAGACCAUAUUUUUCUGUGAUUCUUGAACCAGUGAGUUCUUCUUGAGUUUCUUAACAACUCUUCAGAAGGAAUCGAAGCCUUAAAUUGACGUUUUUACGUCGAAUUGGAGCUCGCCGUUUUCUGCAGUUUCUCGCCGGUUUCUGGAAAAUUCCGGCCACCUUCAUACUGUUCAAGGUGAUUGACGGUUUGAGUUGGCGGACGAUUGUGAAUCGUAUUUUGAGCUGUUAAGAAGACGCAGCGGGAUUAGAGCGGGUAAUCCUACAGGUCAGGAGAACCAGGACGGUGAUCGGGCUGCUUAGAGUAGUGUUAUGUGAAUUUCAGCAUUAUAUUGUGAGGUUUGUUAUGCUCAUUUAGAGCUUUACGAUUUUACUUUGUAAGAGUGAAUUGUAAUAAUUAACUCGAGGUUUUUCGAGUUUUGUGUUGAGUGGCGAGUGGUGUGUUUGUUUCUGAGAAAAAAAAAUUCAGAACGUUAUUUGUAUUAAUUGUUUAUUCAUGUUUCGGAUUUGAAUUUAUUAUUCAAAAUUCGGGGCGU
Long non-coding RNA from Rosa rugosa (rugosa rose), 1655 nucleotides. RefSeq lists it as uncharacterized. The record is from RefSeq and is a predicted model, not a curated record. The transcript is spliced from 3 exons. Lineage: Eukaryota; Viridiplantae; Streptophyta; Magnoliopsida; Rosales; Rosaceae.